RNAcentral lists this ribosomal RNA (497 nucleotides) under uncultured bacterium. RNAcentral describes it as "partial 16S ribosomal RNA". It matches the Rfam family "Bacterial small subunit ribosomal RNA", at positions 28 to 507 of the family's 1533-position model. The record is from RNAcentral.
GAUGAACGCUGGCGGCGUGCCUAAUACAUGCAAGUCGAGCGAACAGAUGAGGAGCUUGCUCCUCUGACGUUAGCGACGGACGGGUGAGUAACACGUGGAUAACCUACCUAUAAGACUGGGAUAACUUCGGGCAACCGGAGCUAAUACCGGAUAAUAUAUUGAACCGCAUGGUUCAAUAGUGAAAGACGGUUUUGCUGUCACUUAUAGAUGGAUCCGCGCCGCAUUAGCUAGUUGGUAAGGUAACGGCUUACCAAGGCAACGAUGCGUAGCCGACCUGAGAGGGUGAUCGGCCACACUGGAACUGAGACACGGUCCAGACUCCUACGGGAGGCAGCAGUGGGGAAUCUUCCACAAUGGGCGAAAGCCUGACGGAGCAACGCCGCGUGAGUGAUGAAGGUCUUCGGAUCGUAAAGCUCUGUUAGUAGGGAAGAACAAAUGUGUAAGUAUCUAUGCACUCCUUGACGGUACCUAAUCAGAAAGCCACGGCUAACUACGUG